ACUCCUACGGGAGGCAGCAGUGGGGAAUAUUGCACAAUGGGGGAAACCCUGAUGUAGCCAUGCCGCGUGUGUGAAGAAGGCCUUCGGUUGUAAAGCACUUUCAGUAGGGAGGAAGGUAGUGUAGUUAACACCUGCAUUAUUUGACGUUACCUACAGAAGAAGCACCGGCUAACUCCGUGCCAGCAGCCGCGGUAAUACGGAGGGUGCGAGCGUUAAUCGGAAUUACUGGGCGUAAAGCGCAUGCAGGCGGCCUGUUAAGUCAGAUGUGAAAGCCCGGGGCUUAACCUCGGAAUUGCAUUUGAAACUGGCAGGCUAGAGUCUGUAGAGGGGUAGAAUUUCAGGUGUAGCGGUGAAAUGCGUAGAGAUCUGAAGGAAUACCAGUGGCGAAGGCGGCCCCUGGACAAAGACUGACGCUCAGAUGCGAAAGCGUGGGAGCAAACAGGAUUAGAUACCCCUGGUAGACUGUCA
Molecule: ribosomal RNA, 468 nt
Filed under: uncultured bacterium
Lineage: Bacteria
Description: bacterial SSU rRNA
Rfam family: Bacterial small subunit ribosomal RNA
Source: RNAcentral